Molecule: ribosomal RNA, 404 nt
Filed under: Roxaniella sp. A TRO-2019
Lineage: Eukaryota; Metazoa; Mollusca; Gastropoda; Cephalaspidea; Haminoeidae
Description: partial 16S large subunit ribosomal RNA
Rfam family: Archaeal large subunit ribosomal RNA
Source: RNAcentral
AGCCCUAAGAAUUAAUUUAGGGUGAUACCUGCCCAAUGACAUAGUUUAAUGGCCGCGGUACUUUGACCGUGCUAAGGUAGCAUAAUCAAUUGACUUUUAAAUGAAGUCUGGAAUGAACGGGGUAACGGAAUUUAGCUGUCUCAUUUCUUUCUAAAGGAACUUACUUACUAGGUGAAAAAGCCUAGAAAAGAAAAAAGACGAGAAGACCCUAAGAGUUUAGUAUUUUGUUGGGGCGACACGGGAUCUUUAACAUCCCUAAUACUUAUGUGUCGGAUUUUUCAUGGCUAGAUAAACUACCUUAGGGAUAACAGCAUAAUUCUUUUGAGUUUGUGACCUCGAUGUUGGACUAGGAAGCUUUUGGGCUAGCUGCCUAAAUAGGGGAUUCUGUUCGAAUUUUUACUCCU